This 519-nucleotide ribosomal RNA is filed under the name Triticum aestivum (bread wheat). RNAcentral's name for it is "partial small subunit ribosomal RNA". The record is from RNAcentral. Lineage: Eukaryota; Viridiplantae; Streptophyta; Magnoliopsida; Poales; Poaceae.
AUGGUGGUGGGAAUGGACUGGUUGGAGGCGUGCGGGCCUAUGUUGGUUGAUUGCACGGCAAAAACGCUGCAGUUUCAGCAUCAGGGACAGUCUAUUACCUUGGUAGGGUUGCAGACCAAACUUCAACAGGUCGAGCAAGUAACGAUGGAUCGGUUACUCAGCAUGGAGCAGAAUAACUCUAUUGCUCAUGUGAUCUUGUUGUGUGCAAUCGAUCGUCAAGACAAGGCCACAAAAGUGCCUCCAGCCAUUCAACAUGUCAUCGACAUCUUCCACUCAGUGUUUGCGGAGUCGUCCAAGCUGCCAGAUCGUCAACCAUGGGAUCAUACAAUCCCUCUGCUUGAAGGGGUCAGACCGAUCAACAUCAGACCGUAUCGCUACACUCCUGAACAGAAAGACGAGAUAGAAGCUCAGGUCAAAGAGAUGUUAGCAAAAGAGCUCAUCACACCCAGUACGAGUGCAUUCUCUUCGCCCAUUCCUGUUGGUCAAGAAGAAAGACCAAACAUGGCGUUUUUGUGUUGA